AGACCGGAAAGUUUCGUGGGGGCUGUCGGUGGCUUAUAUUAAGAAAACCUUGACCCCUCUUGUUGCUACCGCAGGCCAGUUAACAUUAAUUUUGGAUGGAAAUGGUAGGAUCCCGACUUGGACCCAAACCAAAUUCAUUUUUUUUAGAUUGGAUCCAGAUUAUAUAUGAACCUGAUUUGGUCCAUAUAACCCGUUGGAUCAAAAAUUUAAUUAUGGAUUCGAUCUGCCCAAACUCGAUCUUCUAUUUGAUUGGGUCUAAGUCUAAAAUUAGGAUCUGAAUAAAAAACUAGAUUGAGUUGAGGGCAUUCAUGAUUUGAUCCAACUCAAUCUACUUGCACCCCUAAUUACAAGACUAGUGUGACAUAAGAUACAACAGCCAUUCAAUAGAGUGGAAACUUUGUUCUUGUAUCACUCUCCGCUUUUUUCUUUCCUACUACUUCCAAACACUAUUCUUUGUUACCUUUUAAUAAAUUAUAGGAAGUUCUUGCCUUUCUCCUGUCACAUCAAAAAGAUAUACUUCUUGCAGGCUCAUUCCCUUUGCUUGCCUUUUGUGCAUACUUCUCCAUAAAUAAAUUUGGUCGGGUUUAUCGCCUCCCUUUUCAAUCAAGAGAGAGAGAGAGAGAG
This 624-nucleotide long non-coding RNA is filed under the name Phoenix dactylifera (date palm). RNAcentral describes it as "long non-coding RNA (PDAC_LNC007983)". The record is from RNAcentral. Lineage: Eukaryota; Viridiplantae; Streptophyta; Magnoliopsida; Arecales; Arecaceae.